This 2904-nucleotide ribosomal RNA is filed under the name Escherichia coli. Its description in RNAcentral is "23S ribosomal RNA". It matches the Rfam family "Bacterial large subunit ribosomal RNA". The record is from RNAcentral. Lineage: Bacteria; Pseudomonadati; Pseudomonadota; Gammaproteobacteria; Enterobacterales; Enterobacteriaceae.
GGUUAAGCGACUAAGCGUACACGGUGGAUGCCCUGGCAGUCAGAGGCGAUGAAGGACGUGCUAAUCUGCGAUAAGCGUCGGUAAGGUGAUAUGAACCGUUAUAACCGGCGAUUUCCGAAUGGGGAAACCCAGUGUGUUUCGACACACUAUCAUUAACUGAAUCCAUAGGUUAAUGAGGCGAACCGGGGGAACUGAAACAUCUAAGUACCCCGAGGAAAAGAAAUCAACCGAGAUUCCCCCAGUAGCGGCGAGCGAACGGGGAGCAGCCCAGAGCCUGAAUCAGUGUGUGUGUUAGUGGAAGCGUCUGGAAAGGCGCGCGAUACAGGGUGACAGCCCCGUACACAAAAAUGCACAUGCUGUGAGCUCGAUGAGUAGGGCGGGACACGUGGUAUCCUGUCUGAAUAUGGGGGGACCAUCCUCCAAGGCUAAAUACUCCUGACUGACCGAUAGUGAACCAGUACCGUGAGGGAAAGGCGAAAAGAACCCCGGCGAGGGGAGUGAAAAAGAACCUGAAACCGUGUACGUACAAGCAGUGGGAGCACGCUUAGGCGUGUGACUGCGUACCUUUUGUAUAAUGGGUCAGCGACUUAUAUUCUGUAGCAAGGUUAACCGAAUAGGGGAGCCGAAGGGAAACCGAGUCUUAACUGGGCGUUAAGUUGCAGGGUAUAGACCCGAAACCCGGUGAUCUAGCCAUGGGCAGGUUGAAGGUUGGGUAACACUAACUGGAGGACCGAACCGACUAAUGUUGAAAAAUUAGCGGAUGACUUGUGGCUGGGGGUGAAAGGCCAAUCAAACCGGGAGAUAGCUGGUUCUCCCCGAAAGCUAUUUAGGUAGCGCCUCGUGAAUUCAUCUCCGGGGGUAGAGCACUGUUUCGGCAAGGGGGUCAUCCCGACUUACCAACCCGAUGCAAACUGCGAAUACCGGAGAAUGUUAUCACGGGAGACACACGGCGGGUGCUAACGUCCGUCGUGAAGAGGGAAACAACCCAGACCGCCAGCUAAGGUCCCAAAGUCAUGGUUAAGUGGGAAACGAUGUGGGAAGGCCCAGACAGCCAGGAUGUUGGCUUAGAAGCAGCCAUCAUUUAAAGAAAGCGUAAUAGCUCACUGGUCGAGUCGGCCUGCGCGGAAGAUGUAACGGGGCUAAACCAUGCACCGAAGCUGCGGCAGCGACGCUUAUGCGUUGUUGGGUAGGGGAGCGUUCUGUAAGCCUGCGAAGGUGUGCUGUGAGGCAUGCUGGAGGUAUCAGAAGUGCGAAUGCUGACAUAAGUAACGAUAAAGCGGGUGAAAAGCCCGCUCGCCGGAAGACCAAGGGUUCCUGUCCAACGUUAAUCGGGGCAGGGUGAGUCGACCCCUAAGGCGAGGCCGAAAGGCGUAGUCGAUGGGAAACAGGUUAAUAUUCCUGUACUUGGUGUUACUGCGAAGGGGGGACGGAGAAGGCUAUGUUGGCCGGGCGACGGUUGUCCCGGUUUAAGCGUGUAGGCUGGUUUUCCAGGCAAAUCCGGAAAAUCAAGGCUGAGGCGUGAUGACGAGGCACUACGGUGCUGAAGCAACAAAUGCCCUGCUUCCAGGAAAAGCCUCUAAGCAUCAGGUAACAUCAAAUCGUACCCCAAACCGACACAGGUGGUCAGGUAGAGAAUACCAAGGCGCUUGAGAGAACUCGGGUGAAGGAACUAGGCAAAAUGGUGCCGUAACUUCGGGAGAAGGCACGCUGAUAUGUAGGUGAAGUCCCUCGCGGAUGGAGCUGAAAUCAGUCGAAGAUACCAGCUGGCUGCAACUGUUUAUUAAAAACACAGCACUGUGCAAACACGAAAGUGGACGUAUACGGUGUGACGCCUGCCCGGUGCCGGAAGGUUAAUUGAUGGGGUCAGCGCAAGCGAAGCUCUUGAUCGAAGCCCCGGUAAACGGCGGCCGUAACUAUAACGGUCCUAAGGUAGCGAAAUUCCUUGUCGGGUAAGUUCCGACCUGCACGAAUGGCGUAAUGAUGGCCAGGCUGUCUCCACCCGAGACUCAGUGAAAUUGAACUCGCUGUGAAGAUGCAGUGUACCCGCGGCAAGACGGAAAGACCCCGUGAACCUUUACUAUAGCUUGACACUGAACAUUGAGCCUUGAUGUGUAGGAUAGGUGGGAGGCUUUGAAGUGUGGACGCCAGUCUGCAUGGAGCCGACCUUGAAAUACCACCCUUUAAUGUUUGAUGUUCUAACGUGGACCCGUGAUCCGGGUUGCGGACAGUGUCUGGUGGGUAGUUUGACUGGGGCGGUCUCCUCCUAAAGAGUAACGGAGGAGCACGAAGGUUGGCUAAUCCUGGUCGGACAUCAGGAGGUUAGUGCAAUGGCAUAAGCCAGCUUGACUGCGAGCGUGACGGCGCGAGCAGGUGCGAAAGCAGGUCAUAGUGAUCCGGUGGUUCUGAAUGGAAGGGCCAUCGCUCAACGGAUAAAAGGUACUCCGGGGAUAACAGGCUGAUACCGCCCAAGAGUUCAUAUCGACGGCGGUGUUUGGCACCUCGAUGUCGGCUCAUCACAUCCUGGGGCUGAAGUAGGUCCCAAGGGUAUGGCUGUUCGCCAUUUAAAGUGGUACGCGAGCUGGGUUUAGAACGUCGUGAGACAGUUCGGUCCCUAUCUGCCGUGGGCGCUGGAGAAUUGAGGGGGGCUGCUCCUAGUACGAGAGGACCGGAGUGGACGCAUCACUGGUGUUCGGGUUGUCAUGCCAAUGGCACUGCCCGGUAGCUAAAUGCGGAAGAGAUAAGUGCUGAAAGCAUCUAAGCACGAAACUUGCCCCGAGAUGAGUUCUCCCUGACUCCUUGAGAGUCCUGAAGGAACGUUGAAGACGACGACGUUGAUAGGCCGGGUGUGUAAGCGCAGCGAUGCGUUGAGCUAACCGGUACUAAUGAACCGUGAGGCUUAACCUU